GGGGGCGUUCUGGUUUCGACUUGUGGUUUGGACGAUGGGUUGCAUGUCGAGGAUGAUUCGUUGGCCUCGUAAAUAACCGGAUCAAAACAAUAAGUGCAGACCACAAUCUCGCACUGGCUGCCUAAUUCGUAGCCCGUCUCUUCCCGGAUGUCUGCUAGGGGAAAGAGGCGCCGACAGCAGGCUGGGUCCAAGGCGGGGUGUCCGCGCGGAGGGCCGAGACUCAAACAGGGCAAUCGGAUCCGGUAGGCGCGGCGGCUGGCCGGCCUGGUCCUAAAUCCACAGACGCACAAACAUGUAGACGCUCGUGGUCCAGGUCAUGAGGACAGGGGUUCGACUCCCCUCGCCUCCAUCC
This 352-nucleotide transfer-messenger RNA is filed under the name Verrucomicrobiales. Its description in RNAcentral is "V1-115 sp018970725 Standard tmRNA". It matches the Rfam family "transfer-messenger RNA". Rfam says of the family: Bacterial tmRNA, also known as 10Sa RNA or SsrA, is named for its dual tRNA and mRNA-like properties. Its role is to liberate the mRNA from a stalled ribosome. Lineage: Bacteria; Pseudomonadati; Verrucomicrobiota; Verrucomicrobiia. RNAcentral also lists the same sequence under 1 other name. The record is from RNAcentral.